Molecule: long non-coding RNA, 236 nt
Filed under: Lathyrus oleraceus (garden pea)
Lineage: Eukaryota; Viridiplantae; Streptophyta; Magnoliopsida; Fabales; Fabaceae
Description: Pisum sativum (pea) long non-coding RNA (PSAT_LNC037345)
Source: RNAcentral
CCAAAUUCGCCUCGAGUACUUGCCGUGAGUUGCUGCAAUUUAGAUGGUGAACGGCGGAGGGAGCGUUGAAGGCGUUGGGUUGUUGAGGACGGUGAAUCGAUGGUGAGUUCGUUGCCGUAAAACGGAUCGCGGCGAAAAACAAAGGGUGGUUGAGCGGUUGAGGCGUCGCGAUGUGAACGGCAACUCUCGCCGGUGUCGCCUUGGUUGAGGGAUGAUGUGGUGGCGUUUGAAGGAAG